AGGGCUUCAAUGAGGUGCUGCGGCAGUGCAGGAUUGCAAAUGGUAGGUGACUUGUCCAUCUGCUCGGGGCGGUAGGCCUGAAUCCUAUUCAGUUUUGGAGUUGAGUCCUCCAGUAGGACCUUUUGAGGCGGGGUUUCUCUAUAUCAUUCACUGUUCUAGAACUCACUCUGUAGACCCUGUUGGCCUCCAGAGAUGUGUCUGCCCCUGUCUCUAGAGUGCUGGGAUUAAAGGCGUGCAGGGCAGGUCGCUGCCCUGCCUUAUUAGUAGGGCUCUUUAUUCACAGUGCAAUGCUUGUGUUCAUUUCCCACCUUCAGGUAGAGCACUGGUUCUCAACCUUAGUUCCUCAUGCUGUAGUGACCUCAACCACAAAAUUACUUUGUUGCUAUUUCAUAACUGUAAUUUUGAUACUAUUAUGAACUGUAGCAUAAAUAUGCAGGAUAUCUGAUAUGAUUCUUCUGAAAGGGGUGGAGACCCUUAGGGUAAAAAUAGCUAAAUUAGAUGGAAGGGAGGUGGGAGGUGCGUUAGUGUUUAGGAGUGGAAUUAAGAGGUACUUGUCUUAGCCAUGCGGAGGUUGUGUUUUUAAUCCAGCACUCAGGAGACCCUGUCUCAAAAAACUAAAGAAGAAAAAGAGAGGAACAGAUGCUGUUUUAAAAAAGCAUCCGUGAACCCUGAUGAAGUUCUCUGCCUGAUUGAACUGAUCAGACACUUCAGUGGCCGCUUCAGCCACACCCUUCCCACAACAGGGAAGACAGAGACCCAAGGCCAGUCCCCAGCUUGGGAACUCCAGACAGAAUGCUUUGGAUGUCUGGAGGAACUGCUAAGAAAUAGCUCUUUCUGGGACAGGGUUAUUGGGUAGAAGACAGGCAAGGAGGGAGACAGUGUUGAGUUGGGAGCCGUCACAGUGAUCAGUAAGGAGCUCAUCCUCUGACUUCAGAUCAGCGUCUCAGCUUGUCCUACAGUGGUGAAGCUUACCCGGGCGCAGGCUUAAGGGGCUGCUGACAGCAAAGCGCAGCCUGUUCAUGUGUCCAAGGCAAGCAGUCAGCAGUGGGGCUGACAAAGUUGACCUUGUCCAUCCGUCGGGGAGCCAUUGUGUCCCAGUGGAGGGUCCCUUAGCACCACUUCACUCUACAUUGUCAUGCUCCAGGAUGAAACCCUUCCCUUAGCCUCUGACAGGGCUAGUAAUCAAAUUAAAAAGAGAGA
This 1200-nucleotide long non-coding RNA is filed under the name Rattus norvegicus (Norway rat). RNAcentral's name for it is "long non-coding RNA NONRATT007435". Lineage: Eukaryota; Metazoa; Chordata; Mammalia; Rodentia; Muridae. The record is from RNAcentral.